CUCCAAUAGCGUAUAUUAAAGUUGUUGCAGUUAAAAAGCUCGUAGUUGGAUUUCUGGCAGGAGCGGUCGGCCACGCGCUCUGCGCGUGAGUUUGCACUGUCUCUGGCCAUCCUCGGGGAGAUCGCGUUUGGCAUUAAGUUGUCGGGCGUGGGAUACCGUCGUUUACUGUGAGAAAAUUAGAGUGUUUAAAGCAGCUUAUG
Molecule: ribosomal RNA, 200 nt
Filed under: uncultured eukaryote
Lineage: Eukaryota
Description: partial 18S ribosomal RNA
Rfam family: Eukaryotic small subunit ribosomal RNA
Source: RNAcentral